GCGUUGGUAGUGCAACGGUUAGCCUCCGCUCCCGGAAAGAGUGAGAUCUGGGUUCCAAUCCCGGCUGACGCG
Molecule: non-coding RNA, 72 nt
Organism: Parelaphostrongylus tenuis
Lineage: Eukaryota; Metazoa; Nematoda; Chromadorea; Rhabditida; Metastrongylidae
Source: the annotation of a GenBank genome assembly